Molecule: non-coding RNA, 1075 nt
Organism: Pelobates cultripes (western spadefoot toad)
Lineage: Eukaryota; Metazoa; Chordata; Amphibia; Anura; Pelobatidae
Source: the annotation of a GenBank genome assembly
GACAAAAUCAAGAUGUAACAAGCGCUUAUCAAGAUGAGAUGAUAUUACAAUGCCUGGAGGGUUUUCUUUGCGUCGGAUAUAAAUAUAUAUCACUAGACAAAGUUUGCCGUUCACACUUUCCAUAUAUUAUGAAGUUUGUUAAAGUAUGUUAUUUGCAAUUCUACACUCAAACACUAUACAAAGGAUUAAUAUUAAAAACUCUUACAAAACAUUGUAUCUGCUUUUAUCUAUUCUCCUUGUAACUAUUCUGCAAAAGUUUCUUCCUGACUAUAACACACACGUGAAAUUACUUAAAGGGACACUAUAGUCACCAAAACAACUACAGCUUAUUGAAUUUGUUCUGAUGAGUAGAAUCAUUCCCUUCAGGCUUUUUGCUAUAAACACUGUAUUUUCAGAGAAAAUGCAGUGUUUACAUUAUAGCCUAGUGAUAACUCCACUGGCCACUCCUCAGAUGGCUAUUAGAGAUCCUUCCUGGGUCAUGGCUGCCUAAAACGCAUCCAAACAUUCAGUGUCUCCUCCCUCUGCAUGCAGACACUGAACUUUGCUCAUAGAGAUUCAUUGAUUCCAUUCAUCUCCAUGAGGAGAUGCUGAUUCUUCAGGGCUGUGUUUGAAUCAUGCUGGCUCUGCCCCUGAUCUGCCUCUUUGUCAGUCUCAGCCAAUCCUAUGGAGAAGCACUGUGAUUGGAUUAGGCCACCACUUCUGAUGAUGUCAGCAGACUGCUUGUUUUUCUGAGUCAAACAGCAUGCAGAUUUACAGCUUCUUGGCUUGAAUACAGUAAGAUUUUGCUAUAUUUAUGGAGGCAUGAGGGACCCAGGGGGGCUAGAUGGUGGUGUUAACACUAUAGGGUCAGGAAUACAUGUUUGUGUUCCUGACCCUAUAGUGAUCCUUUAACACUAGCUUUAGAUUCUCAGACAGGUGCAUUUAGGGUGUUUUAAAAGUCAAUUGUUAUACUUUGUUUCCCAUCUUUGGGCACACUCUAUUCUCUUUUCUAGUGGGUAGCAUAUGGUUAACAUUGGAAGAGUUGUUUAACGUAACACCCUGAGGACCAAAACCACUAUGGCGUGCUGUAGUGGUU